UUUAACUACGAUGUCGAGUUGAUGUGCAUCUUUUUCAAUUUCUCGUAAACUAGCUGACUCUUGACGAAAAACUCUACAUUGAAACAAUCCUUACAUUCGAAACAACCAGUUAGGAAAAAAACGACAGUUAAAAAUUGAGAAAAAAGGGUUUAUUUGCAAAAAUCUAAAAUUUUGUCUCCAAACCCUACCUGGGGUAAGUGGGGACGGCUUCAUAUAUACCUGAUGUUUACACAUUUUUUCAAUUUUCUCUCCUUCAUUCAAUACAAUUUAGCUUUAUUUAGCAUUCAAAUCAUGAAAAGUUGGGAAAAGUACUUGUUUUUUCUACACCCAAAAAAUUAAAGAAAUUAAUUCUACGGGAUUUUUCACGUAAACUAAGCUUUUCUUCCAUCCCAUCGAUUCUGCGUGCGUCUUGUAGUAGUUACUUUAAUUCCACAUAAAUGACUCAUAAAUUUCACGUAAAAUAUAUGUGGAUGACCAAAACUCCUUUUGUAAUUAACUUUUCAUGAGCGUGUUUUUGUUUACAUUUUAAAUUCUUAUAAGAAAAUUUCUCAGGAAAUCAGUCAGGAGCUGAUAGCUUCCCGUCCCGGUCUACAAAUUUACGUUCCUAUUUUAUCGGUAUCGGUGGUCAUUUUCGGUUCCGUUUCGUGGAUUUACCAGCCGCUCCCACGUACUUGGGUAUGAGACUGAAUCAGCGGCGCGGCACUGGAAUUAAAACAAAGUGUUUUCUUGUUUCCCUCGGAACCAGCGGAAUCAAGUUAAAAAAAGUUAAAAACUGAACGGCAUCCAAGUACGACCGUCAGUACUAAGGGCAAACGGGAAGCUGCAUGAUGGUGCUGCUGAUGGGGCAUCCGGAUUCCCAGCCGAGCGAAGUGGCACUAGUGAGGAUCCUGAAGGUAGCCAAAAUUGUUUUAUAAAUGAAGCAACCAUGUAAUAUGUUCAACGUCGAGUUCAACAUCAGUGCUCCAGGAAACAAGUUCUCUGUAGAUGUAGAUCAGAAUUUUGAAAACCAAUUUGCGCUUUCCAACGGCCGUCGGAUGAUUCAUGGAAUCCAUUGUUUGCAUGUUUUGGAGUGAAAAUAGUGGUUAGUGAAAAGUGGUUUAUUUGUAAUAAUAAAAGAAAAAUAAAAGAAACGAUAAAAUCAACCAAACAUCGAAUUAUUUUUAUUAGGCAAUCAUUUCAAAUUUAUUCCAAAACCAUUAAGAUUCAAGUAAACUAACAAUAACUUCCAUCGUUGAAAUGGCGUUGAACUCACUAAUAAUUCACGUAAGUUGUAGCUGAUGUUCCAUCUACACCAAUUCUAAUUAGGGGAGCGUUUACUUAUUUUAUCCGUAGAAUUUACGUGAAAAUCAAUUGGAUAAAAAUUAUGUAGUUUUUCACGUAGCCGCUACGUGCAGAUUAUUUUGGGUGUAAAAUAAGUAUAUAUUUUCGAUAAUAUCGGUUUACACACGAUAAUCAUUGAAAAAUGCCUUAUUAAUAGUACCAUGAACUUUUUUCGAAAUUUCGGACGAUUCGAGGAAUAAAGUAACGUAUUCAAACAAAAAAACACAAAUUUGUUGAAAAUUUCCUGAGAAAUCAAAGGGAAAAUCUACCGUCCCCACUUACCCCAUAAAGCGGGGUAAGUGAAGACACCAGCAGUCCAUAACAAUUUACGUGAUAACUUUUUUCGCUUUGCGUCUAUCAAGCUCAUCUCUUCAGCAUUUGUGAACAACAUGUUCUGCAUCACGUUGAAUGCGAUUUUAUCAAAAUUGACCCGCUGCUGAUUUCUUAAUGAUUUUUUAAAGUUGAACUAUACGAAAAACCGUCCCCACUUACCCCGGUGUACCUUAAAUAACAGUGCACUUCUAUAUCUUUGAAAAGAGAUACACGCAGCGAAAAGAUUUUUUAUUUCAAAGGAAAGUGCAGCGAAAACAAAGGAAAAUUUCCUUUGAUUUUGGGAUAAAUAAAAAUUUCUUUGUUUCAAAUGCAUUUUCGUUUGUUUCAAAGAAUUUUUCUUUUGAAAAAUCUUUGAUUCAAAAUAUUUAUACUUUGAAACAAAAAAACAGUUUCUUUUGACUCAAAGUUGCAUUCUUUUGCCACAAGGUAAUUUAAUUUAGAUUUAAAAGCAUUUAUUCAUUGAACCAUUUUCUAUCUAUUCCAAUUGGAAGCAUUAUUUUCUGUUGUUUUGAAAUUCCUAUUAGGAAUUACAAAUAAUAAAAAGAAAGGAUUUCAAAUUUAAAAUAUAUUUUUAUUCACAAAUAAACGAAACACUGGGUCACACACUGGUUCACUUCUAUCGAAUCAUCCGGUUUAAAUUUUCGUGGACCUGAUCGCUGGAUUGGAGCGGUGUCACCUCGGUUGAGGCAUCCAGGGACUUGGAAAACCAUCUAUCGGCCGUGGUCCUGUAAAAUUUCAAGCACUUAUUGAAAAUCUUCAAUAUUCAUUCUUUAAUUAACAUAAACUUACCAUACUUUACCCUGAAUCCUCCUAACUAAGCUAACUCUGAUCCACAUUUUCACUCGACCAGCCAAACCGUUUCAAAUUCUUCUUACUCAAUGCAAAAAACCUUCUAAGUUUGAAGUUUUUAUUUUAAGAAAUUAUUCCUUUGCAUUGAAUACAUUUUUCUUUGGUUGAAAGAAAAUUUACUUUGUUUCCAAAUAAAAAUGCAAUUGAACAAAUGUCUUUUGAAUCAAAGAAUUUGUUUAAAAUCAAAGUCCAAAAUUAUUCGAUUCAAAAAUUUAAUUCUUUCUUUCAAAAAUUAUUUAUUUGAAACAAAACCAUAAUUCGUUGAUUCAAAGAAAACAGGAAAUUGAAUCGAAAAAAUUAAUUUUUUGAAUCAAAGUCAGUUUUGUUUUGUUUCAAAAUCCAAGUUUUCUCUGCGUGUAUUUGUAAGGCUUUACUAGAAAAGGGAAUAAAAGAUUAGUUGUAUUCAGACUGUGACCCAGACAUGUCGUCUUUAACUGAACCUCGAUCCGAAUCUCCAAUUUAUAACAUUUAUUUCAGUUUUUUUUUUCAAAUAUAAUAGUAAUGAAAGCUCAUGCGAGAAAUGUAGAUUUGAAAAACUUCAGACAUGAUCAAUUCAAAUUACUUGAAAGGCUGGUGCGAGUUUUGGAUGGGAAAGAGAUUAACAUAUUUUAAAUAUUUUUUUCUUUUUACAACUACGUACUCUAAAUUUAAAAAAGCUUAUACAUACAUCUCCAUUAAGCAAACAUCAACAUAAAUCCUUUCCCGUAGAAAAAAUUUCAAAAUUAUUUUUAUGAUAAAUGAGAAAAAAAUCACCUUGACCAGGAAUCAAACUCCAGUCUACUGAUUACCUCUCCGACAGCUUACCAAUAGGUCAAACCGUCAGAUGAAACAAGUCAAGCUGUAGCUCUAUUAUUCAGUUGACUUCAUCGAGUCGAAUUUGCUGCUAGAUUCCCCGGCAGAAAACUCUCAUCGUGACCCGAUCUAGGUGCUUAUACUGCCCCAGGGGGGUUCUCAUUAUGCCCCUACCAGGCCCGUGCGAAGAACCCGAACAUGGAGGGGGGGGGGGGGGCUGGGUUUUCAAAA
Uranotaenia lowii is the source of this 3525-nucleotide long non-coding RNA. RefSeq lists it as uncharacterized. The record is from RefSeq and is a predicted model, not a curated record. The transcript has 4 exons. NCBI's taxonomy places the organism in Eukaryota, Metazoa, Arthropoda, Insecta, Diptera, Culicidae.